Molecule: ribosomal RNA, 459 nt
Filed under: uncultured bacterium
Lineage: Bacteria
Description: partial 16S ribosomal RNA
Rfam family: Bacterial small subunit ribosomal RNA
Source: RNAcentral
CCUACGGGUGGCAGCAGUGAGGAAUAUUGGUCAAUGGCCGAGAGUCUGAACCAGCCAAGUAGCGUGAGGGAUGAAUGUCCUAUGGGUUGUACACUUCUUUUGUAAGGGAAUAAAACGAGGCACGUGUGGCUUUUUGCAUGUACUUGAUGAAUAAGGAUCGGCUAACUCCGUGCCAGCAGCCGCGGUAAUACGGAGGUUCCGAGCGUUAUCCGGAUUUAUUGGGUUAAAGGGAGCGUAGAUGGGUUGGUAAGUCAGUUGUGAAAGUUUGCGGCUUAACCGUAAAAUUGCAAUUGCGACUGGGCGUCUUGAGUACAGUAGAGGAAAGUGGAAGUCGAGGUGUAGCGGUGGAAUGCGUAGAUAUCAGGAAGAACCCCAGUUGCGAAGGCAGCUUACUAAACUGUGACUGACACUGAUGCUCGAAAGCGUGGGUAGCAAACAGGAUUAGAUACCCGUGUAGUC